UGAGCUGAUCGAGUAAUCGCUGAUUUUUUUUAAUCAGAGGAAAGUCCGGGCUCCUUAGGAUAAGACGCCAGGUAACGCCUGGGAGCAGUGAAAACUGUUACGGCAAGUGCAGCAGAAAGUAUACCGCCCAAUUUUUGGGUAAGGGUGAAAAGGUGAGGUAAGAGCUCACCGUAUAUUUGGAGACAAAUAUUGCAAGGUAAACCCCGUCUGGAGCAAGACUAAAUAGAGAUUCUUUAAUGUGAUCCGCAUUGAAUCUGGGUAAGUUGCUAGAGGUUUGCGGUGACGNAAANNCAAGAUGAAUGAUUACUUAAAACAGAACCCGGCUUAUGGAUCAGCUCUCCAA
This 343-nucleotide RNase P RNA is filed under the name Gammaproteobacteria bacterium TMED222. Its description in RNAcentral is "RNase P RNA component class A". It matches the Rfam family "Bacterial RNase P class A". Rfam says of the family: Ribonuclease P (RNase P) is a ubiquitous endoribonuclease, found in archaea, bacteria and eukarya as well as chloroplasts and mitochondria. Its best characterised activity is the generation of mature 5'-ends of tRNAs by cleaving the 5'-leader elements of precursor-tRNAs. Cellular RNase Ps are ribonucleoproteins. The record is from RNAcentral. Lineage: Bacteria; Pseudomonadati; Pseudomonadota; Gammaproteobacteria.